GAUCCGUCGUAAAUUAAAAUGCUUUUGUUUGUAUUUCUGCAGUUUUCAUACAAUUUCUUUUUUUUAAUUUUGGUUACGGAAAGGGUUUUAAUUCUGAGUAUGUUGGUGCCUCUGAGAAAUUUCAUGUUCUCUGCUUGCCACGCAUGUCCUCUGCUUCGUCCACCAGAUCUCCACAUCCUACCUCCACUGCCACUUUGAUUGGUUCAGGUGGUGCACAACUGAUUCCACUUACUUCUUCAUUUCGUUUCGCCAUCACAGAGACCGACCGGUUGUGACGGCUUCACACAUCAGUCCACGCUGAACGAUGGCGGCGGCUAGGAGGUGUUCCGGUUACUGGAACGUCUACAGGAGGCGGAGGUGUUCCGGCAGAGGGGAUUUGGUUCAACACGGUUACGAUGACAGUGAGAUUUAGGAUUCCGACAACCCCUUGAUACUCCGACGGAAAGCUCCAGCCUUGAAUGUCACUUUUUCAGUUAGAACGGAGACAACCUGAGAUCCGGCUUGAAUGUCACUUUUCCAGUUAGUGAGCCUGGGUUUCGACUUUAGGUGACGGUCACCCCGUCGACGAAGAACCGGCAAAGUUUAGGUGGAAAUGGAUUGAACAAAAAGUGAGAAAUUAGAGGCGUGGGUCGAACGGGUCAUAACUGGCAUGGAAAAUCUUGCCCUACCCAUUACAACUCAUAUCCCAAAACCCCUUGGAAGGUUAUUAAAGCAAUUUCAUUAUGUAGUUUCGUUAUUUUUAUAUGUAAUAUAAAAAAUGGUCAAUCGAGAGUAUUUUGGUGUUUUUUUCAAUUGCAAGUCUUGCUGAGUAAUCUUGAUAGUGGAAAGUUGAUGAAUAUUAAUUUUCUUUUUCAAGUAAAAAAAACUUUUUAAGCCAACUCAAGGCCAAAGCCGUUGCGACCCGAGCCCGCUUUGACUUGAACUCAUUCUGACCCAAACUUGAAAGUUGUGAUUUAAGGUAUCGCAUGGUGGAUUCGAGACUAUGGUGGUGUUUGGUAAUGGUAGUUCUUUGUCGUUGUUUAAACUUUAAAGCUUCGUCAAGAGUUGAGUAGCUUUAAUAAUAAUUCUUCCCCGGGUGAGUGGAUUCUUUGUUGAGCAAGAUCAAACCCCAAAAGUACAUUCAGUAACUCUGCAUUGAAGGUGUAUAUAUUUCUUUGACGUUUUGAUAUACGCCUUCAUCACUGAAUCGUGUGCGCGUUUGUAUAUCUAUUCGGUUAAUUUUUUUAGUUGUUUCAGCGCGGGCUGAAACCAACUUUGCCCUCACGCAACGCACGACACUUGCUACUGCAAGAUGAGAGCCAAAGGAGCAAAAGUCUACCAGGACCUAAACAAGAAAGGGGCCAUAUAAGAAUGCUGACAUUUAAUGAACCACCUACCAACAUUUAUAUUAAUUCGAAGAAAAAAGCCGUAAGCAUGAACUAAAUUAAAAACACGCACUGUUGGUACUCGCGCAACACGCGACGGCGAAUACUCCUGGUUAAUAUAAUACAUUGAUUGACGUUGAGUAACUGAUCAAGAAAAAGAAACAAAAGUUCAUUGGAAUUUGCAAACAUGGUGAUGGUGGGGUGUUGUUUCAUGAGCAAAAAUGAAACAAAAGUUUCCAGAAAUAUUUAACUAUGAAAUUGAAAGCUGGUGACGUGGAUAUAUAUCUAGAAUAGUCUUGCAAUAUUUACAACACCAUCCUAAAUUUAGCAAAACUUGGAACCUCAAUGCUAAAGAAAGUUGUACACAAACUCUUAAUGAAGUUACAUCACAUAUUGUGUGAGGUUGUUUUAA
Molecule: long non-coding RNA, 1776 nt
Organism: Helianthus annuus (common sunflower)
Lineage: Eukaryota; Viridiplantae; Streptophyta; Magnoliopsida; Asterales; Asteraceae
Exons: 4
Source: RefSeq, a predicted model, not a curated record